GUAGGGUUCUUCUUCUUCUUCUCUUUUUUAACAUGACUGGGAUUUUAAUUAUAUUUCUCCGUCUCUCACAAAUUUAAAAAAUUGCUCUUCAUUGUUCACUGCAGAUGAUUCAUUAGAACUAUUUUUGAACAACAUAGGUUUAAUUUUGUAGCAGUGAUACGCAGACUCCUCUUUGACGGAGAAUGUCUCUCCUCCAUGUAAUGCAAAUCUGUGAAAUAAAUCGGUUAAAUUUUUUAGGUUGAGUAGUUGUUUCAGUUGUCUCAGGUUUCGAAGUGUCUUUAAAAGGAUGGCAUAUGCUCUAAUUCAAUGACUGAUUUGAACUGACAAAGAAAUGAUAAUCACAAUAUUUUCAAUCUUAGAGCAAUCUCAGUCACACUUACCAACUGGUUUGCCUAAAAUCAGAACUGGAAUUCAAAGCUCAUCUGAGAGUUUGAAGAAAAUAGAAGGAAAUAUUUUAGUUGGAAAAAAGGCAAUAGCAGAUGCUGGAUACUUCAUAUGAGAACUGACUCUUUGUUUGUGUGUAAUCAGCAGGUUCUGUGAAAUGUGGUGUGGAGCAGAUCAUAUUCAUAUAGAUCAUAAUCAUACUAUAAAGGUCUUUGAUUACCGUAAAUGAACUUGAAAAUCAUAUAAAGAUCUUACAUGAAGAGCUGGAAAAGCGGGCACAAGUUUUUGAAGGUGAUUAGGAAGUACUUAUAAGUACUAAAGUUGAGCAGGAAAAGAGAGUCAUAAAAGCAGAGAAAGCCCUGAGAAAAGCGAGCCAUAAAAGUAGAGGAAGCCCUGAGAAAAGCACAAUGCUAGAAUGUAAAUACAGCCGAGAGAUUGCAAAAGGAAUCACUUUAGAUGUGAAUGAUGAGCUAGCUACAAAAGCACUGACUGAAGCAAAUGAAUUUCAUCUAGUGAAAAACUAUCUAGAGGAAAUGCUCCAUCAAGCCACGAAAGAGGUUAAGUCAGUUAAGGGGUUUAUGAAAGAAUUUAAACCAAAUACUUUCCAAGUCAAAACAAAUGGAACAGGUACCAUCAGAGACAUAGUGAAUAUGCAGGAACUUAAAGAAAGCUUGCUGAUGAAACUCACAUGCUCCUUUCAGAAGAAAUCUUAAUGCUGCAGUCUGAAAUUGAAAUACUUGCAAAAGAAAACAGUGUAUUCUCUGAGCAGAAAAGGCAGAAUGAUAAUUUGAAAGUUGAGCUAAAUCAUAAUCAUCUCUAAUUAUAUAUUCACAUUUUAUGAUCAUUUAAAAAUGAUUAAAUGUAAUUGUUAAAUUAAAUCAGAA
Daucus carota subsp. sativus is the source of this 1268-nucleotide long non-coding RNA. RefSeq lists it as uncharacterized. The record is from RefSeq and is a predicted model, not a curated record. NCBI's taxonomy places the organism in Eukaryota, Viridiplantae, Streptophyta, Magnoliopsida, Apiales, Apiaceae. The transcript is spliced from 7 exons.